CCCCUCUCAGGAUCGCACCUGGAGAGUAUCCAGUACUCUACCAGUUUCGACUAGGGGAGGGAGAGUCAAUCAGAGGCAUACGUUUUCCAUUCCUAGCUUGGGCAGUGGCUGGUGAGUGGAAGGCAAUCCGCUGCGAGU
Small nucleolar RNA from Ornithorhynchus anatinus (platypus), 138 nucleotides. NCBI's taxonomy places the organism in Eukaryota, Metazoa, Chordata, Mammalia, Monotremata, Ornithorhynchidae. The record is from RefSeq and is a predicted model, not a curated record.